AGAUUGAACGCUGGCGGCAGGCCUAACACAUGCAAGUCGAGCGGUAGAGAGGUGCUUGCAUCUCUUGAGAGCGGCGGACGGGUGAGUAAUGCCUAGGAAUCUGCCUAGUGGUGGGGGAUAACGUUCGGAAACGGACGCUAAUACCGCGUACGUCCUACGGGAGAAAGCGGGGGACCUUCGGGCCUCGCGCCAUUAGAUGAGCCUAGGUCGGAUUAGCUAGUUGGUGAGGUAAUGGCUCACCAAGGCGACGAUCCGUAACUGGUCUGAGAGGAUGAUCAGUCACACUGGAACUGAGACACGGUCCAGACUCCUACGGGAGGCAGCAGUGGGGAAUAUUGGACAAUGGGCGAAAGCCUGAUCCAGCCAUGCCGCGUGUGUGAAGAAGGUCUUCGGAUUGUAAAGCACGUUAGUGGAGAAGGUUAGUAACUUAGUACGUUGCGUAUUUGACGUUACCGAA
Molecule: ribosomal RNA, 457 nt
Filed under: uncultured soil bacterium
Lineage: Bacteria
Description: bacterial SSU rRNA
Rfam family: Bacterial small subunit ribosomal RNA
Source: RNAcentral